This 549-nucleotide ribosomal RNA is filed under the name uncultured Bacillus sp. Its description in RNAcentral is "bacterial SSU rRNA". It matches the Rfam family "Bacterial small subunit ribosomal RNA", at positions 354 to 894 of the family's 1533-position model. The record is from RNAcentral. Lineage: Bacteria; Bacillati; Bacillota; Bacilli; Caryophanales; Bacillaceae.
GUAGGGAAUCUUCCACAAUGGGCGAAAGCCUGAUGGAGCAACGCCGCGUGAGUGAAGAAGGUUUUCGGAUCGUAAAACUCUGUUGUAAGGGAAGAACAAGUACAGUAGUAACUGGCUGUACCUUGACGGUACCUUAUUAGAAAGCCACGGCUAACUACGUGCCAGCAGCCGCGGUAAUACGUAGGUGGCAAGCGUUGUCCGGAAUUAUUGGGCGUAAAGCGCGCGCAGGCGGUCCUUUAAGUCUGAUGUGAAAGCCCUCGGCUCAACCGAGGAGGGUCAUUGGAAACUGGAGGACUUGAGUGCAGAAGAGGAAAGUGGAAUUCCAAGUGUAGCGGUGAAAUGCGUAGAGAUUUGGAGGAACACCAGUGGCGAAGGCGACUUUCUGGUCUGUAACUGACGCUGAGGCGCGAAAGCGUGGGGAGCAAACAGGAUUAGAUACCCUGGUAGUCCACGCCGUAAACGAUGAGUGCUAAGUGUUAGGGGGUUUCCGCCCCUUAGUGCUGCAGCUAACGCAUUAAGCACUCCGCCUGGGGAGUACGGUCGCAAGAC